AGCGAACGCUGGCGGCAUGCUUAACACAUGCAAGUCGCACGGCCCGCAAGGGCAGUGGCGGACGGGUGAGUAACGCGUAGGUAUCUGUCUCCGGGUGGGGGAUAACUGUGGGAAACUACAGCUAAUACCGCAUGAAGCCUGAGGGCCAAAGGCGCAAGUCGCCUGGAGAGGAGCCUGCGUACGAUUAGCUUGUUGGCGGGGUAAAGGCCCACCAAGGCGACGAUCGUUAGCUGGUCUGAGAGGAUGAUCAGCCACACUGGGACUGAGACA
RNAcentral lists this ribosomal RNA (270 nucleotides) under uncultured bacterium. RNAcentral describes it as "partial 16S ribosomal RNA". It matches the Rfam family "Bacterial small subunit ribosomal RNA", at positions 29 to 326 of the family's 1533-position model. The record is from RNAcentral.